Labeo rohita (rohu) is the source of this 73-nucleotide non-coding RNA. NCBI's taxonomy places the organism in Eukaryota, Metazoa, Chordata, Actinopteri, Cypriniformes, Cyprinidae. The record is from the annotation of a RefSeq genome assembly.
GGCCUGGUGGCCUAAUGGAGAUGGUCUCAGCUUCCAGAGCUGAGGAUUGUGGGUUCAAGUCCCACCUGGGUUG